RNAcentral lists this ribosomal RNA (372 nucleotides) under uncultured organism. RNAcentral's name for it is "partial 16S ribosomal RNA". It matches the Rfam family "Bacterial small subunit ribosomal RNA", at positions 527 to 896 of the family's 1533-position model. The record is from RNAcentral.
GUAGGUGGCAAGCGUUGUCCGGAAUUAUUGGGCGUAAAGCGCGCGCAGGCGGUUCUUUAAGUCUGAUGUGAAAGCCCACGGCUCAACCGUGGAGGGUCAUUGGAAACUGGAGAACUUGAGUACAGAAGAGGAAAGCGGAAUUCCACGUGCAGCGGUGAAAUGCGUAGAGAUGUGGAGGAACACCAGUGGCGAAGGCGGCUUUCUGGUCUGUAACUGACGCUGAGGCGCGAAAGCGUGGGGAGCAAACAGGAUUAGAUACCCUGGUAGUCCACGCCGUAAACGAUGAGUGCUAAGUGUUAGGGGGUUUCCGCCCCCCUUAGUGCUGCAGCUAACGCAUUAAGCACUCCGCCUGGGAGUACGGCCGCAAGGCUG